AGAAAACAAACGAAAAGCAGCAUGGCAACAACUCAAAAGCAGGAAUUUCAGCGGUCAGGAUUUACUCCCUGCUUUUGGCCAUUUGACGCAUCUGCAGCUUUCUGGCUCCUCGUGCUGAGAAUCCUUCCAAAAGAAGAGUUUUAAAUUCAGCAUUGUCAUAAGCCAUACCAGGAAGCUAGCUGACCUUCCUCUGCUGGGGAAGGGCAAAGCACCCAGCCACGUCCCUCCCAUCUGCUCUGCAUCACCUUGGGCUGUUGCACAGAGUGAGAACGCUCACGGUUCUUUCAGUGUGAAGAUAAGUAGUUGUUAAAAAGUGUAUUUGAGAUAAGGCUUUGUCACUUUCUUUUGAUUCUACGCUUGUAAGUCCAAUACUUAGAUAUAUUUUACUUGCACCUGAACAAUAUCUUCCACUUCUUCACGGCUACGUACUUUUUACCCCUUGUGCCAACUGCUCAAAAUUUAGCCUUUCAAGUUAACGUGCUGCAGGUCCUUCUGCAGAAAUGGACAUCAGCAGAGGCAGAUGAGUAAAUGCUGUUAGGUGGCCAUGUUGAACAUGGAAGUAUUUCUGAGGGUACACUGAUAGAGUAGGUCCUUCUGAAUUUUCCACUGCUCAUUUGAAGUUCAGAACAGAUGAUGGCAAGGGGAAUUCAUGCCUUUUCUUCUCUGAAACCGUCGCUGGAAGAGAACAAAUCACCCUGCGUUGUCCUUUUCUCCUAACAGCUUCUUCAUUUAAAAUACCAACAGCACUGACAAAUCUUUCAAUUGCGGUGAUUUUUAAAAUCUCCUGCUCCUGAAAGUACACGUUUCCCUCUGCACUGGAGGAUUCUUAUGCCACUUAAAAUUCUUUUUAGCCCCCUCUGUCCUAGAGAAGUUAAAAGCCAAGUGAGGUAAUUAGAAACAAAGCACCAAGUAAUCUUGGAGCCCUUAAAAUAGAGAAUCUUUGCCAUCGAGGACACGCUUCAGCAUUGGCUCUGGUUGUUGAAAGGAGUUUGAAUUGGGUUCACACGCUGUAAGCCUCAGACUCAUGUUCCUCCUAUCCACUGGCUCAAAGCAUCCCUUGUGUCCUUCAGAAGAGCCAAAGUCACAAGAAAUAUUAGGGGACUUGUGGUGUUAUGCCCAGCUCCGGAUCACCCAGAAGACAGGAAGGAAAAAUGUGGACUGAGAUACCAGUUUUUUUUCUUUUCUGUGGACUUGGUCAUUCUUUGAGGCUGUGCCUCGGCAUGACCCAUGGGUUUUCAUUGUGGUCUUGGCCCCGUGGUGUGGUGACAGCAACUAUUCUUGUACCUGCUAGCAAUCACUGUGGAGAUAACCCAUGGCUUCUCUCCGUGUGCUGCUUUUUAAUGGGCACAGACCACAGUACAGCUACUACAUGGAAUUUUUUUAGUAUCUAUAUGUUUAUGAAGUCCGAGGAGUUGAACUUGAGUCUUAAAAUGCAUUCCUCAACAGCCAGGUAUUGUCAGCUCUGCUUAAGAAGUGUGCUUUGAUGAACUGGGCUUUCUAUCCCUCUUCCAUGGGUUGUUAAGUCUGUAAUCAGAAAUUUAGGGGAAUGGCUAGCUGGCCCAACUUCCAAAUAUUGAAAACCUCAAAGUAAUGUAGCACAUAACUGAAAUCACAUAAACUUUAGGUAUGAGAAAUGAAGCUUCUGACACCUCAUUUUCAUUACAAAGAUGGUAACAAGAAUGGAAAAUGUCACGAGAAUAAUUCACUUGUGUUUGGUCUUUUGUACCAUAAUUAUCUAGUUCUUCUCGCUUUGGGCUCUCCUUCUCCAGCGUGACUUUUGGGACGGGCUUGGUGGGUUUGGCUUUUAAUGAUCUAAUAAAUACAAGUAAUAGCUUGUGAUUUGUUUAAUGUUUUGAACUGAAAGGUCAAGGGUAGGAAGAUUAAAUAGUUUUUACUGAGAGCAUUUCCCCUGAUGACUAUCUCUUGCUGGAAGCAACACGAUUUCUUAAGCAAGCAUAAAAUCAGUUUAGGAAGGCUCUGAGCUCAAAUUAAAGCAGCAAGGAGAACAAUGUUAGUGCAUGGGUACUAUCAGCUACAGUAGGAUAGGCAAAAAUGAAAUCAGGCGGGGAAAUCAUACCCAGGUUUUCUUAUAAUGUCACUGCAGAGUGGAUUAUGAUUUUUUUUUUGGCACGUGUGGAAAAUCUGUGUGAAGAUCAGUGGGACUGAAGUAAAGACUGAAUUGCUUUAAGCCUAUGCUUUGCAGUUCAGCUUUUGCUAAUUAAAUUGUAGCUUUUAAUGACUUUUUCUGGUAAUUGAUUACCUGAGCGAUAAGCAACUGGCACCCAUUUUUUUGUGUAUGGAGCCUGAGACAAGGAAUUCAGCUCAGAUAACCGCAUUCUGGGUCAGUAAUUCCUUACAACAACAUGUCAAGCUUAUGGAGGUUGGAAAAGACCUCUAAGAUGAUCACAUCCAACCACUCGCCUACCACCAAUGUUGCCCACUGAACAAUGUCCCUUAGUACUACAUGCUUCUUGAACACCUCCAGGGAUGGUGACUCUACCACCUCCCUAGGCAGCCUGUGCCAGUGCCUGACCACUCUUUAAGCUUUUCCAGUACCCAACAUGAACCUCCCUGGAGCAACUUCAGGCUGUUCCCUCUCGUCCUAUCACUAUCUCCUAUCCUGGAGAAGAUGCCAGCCCCUACCUUGCCACAACGUCCUUCCAGGUAGUUUAGAGGGCAGUCCUAUUCCCUGUUGUGAAGGUGUUACAGAGGUCUCUGCCUUGCCCCAGUUCUCAACGGAGUUGUAGUAUUGGUGAAGGAGAAAACCAGUCUCCUAAUAUCGUUAGCUGUGCAUUGCAAGAACUGGAGAACCAAGACAGAUACAUCUUUUCAUUCUAUUUUUAUUCUAUGACAGACACUCUGGAGACUUUGCACGCUUCCCUGGGUUCCUGGACAAGCACCCUGUUUACUUUCAUCUGAAAUAAAUGUUUCAUCACAGAAAAUGAGAUCGUGUCAGCAAAGAGGAAAAUCUUCAUGCUGGUAGCUGAGCCUCCGUGGGUUCUUGAUGGUUAUUAUCUACUCCUCCGACCUGGUUAAAGAUCCAGCUCUAUUUUUAGAGGUGAAAUACUUAUCUGAGAAGGAGGAGAGAGAGCAACAGAGUGACGUAUUUGCAGUGAUGCUGUUGACAUGCCUCGUGGUCUUUGGCUCUUCUUAGGCUCCCAGGAGACAUUUUGCACCUUAGGGCUUUAACGUCUCAGACGUUACUCUCAAGUCCCUGCCGGUAGCAGACAGCAGCUAUGGAGAAGCGCAGAGGCAAGAGGGAGAUGUAACAGCAUCAGUUCAAAGAGAUGCAAAAAGGUGCACAAGCGACAGUGGAACCAAGUCCAAAAACACUGCUGAGCUGGUGCCUUCAGGAAUUGCAUGCUGAAACGCCGGCACUGAAGCUGAGUGGUAGUCAUGAUGGUGUUAAAUGAAUGGAAGAACAUUCUGUAGACAGAGCAUUUCGAAGAGACCAAUGAAAGAAACAAAUGUUUUGUCAGAGAAGAUGAGAUCCAUCAAGGUAAGAAACACCAAACUGCGUUAGCAAGAAAUAAAGGCCUUAAAUAACUGUUUCUCAUAGAACAUUGAAGUUUUGCUGUUCCAGAAACCUACAUCCAUAGGCUUGUAUAAAGGUGGAUCCAAACUUAACUUGAAUUAUCAAAUAAAACAGUUGACAAUGUGUUACAAAGCCAACACAGUUCUGCUCUGCCUACUUUCACUUACUGGUUAGACAGUACACUUGGUGUCUGUUUUCCAGCACAGGACCACAGCUGAUCUCCCAUUUUGAUUGGGCAGCUUUCUAUUCAAGCUGGUUUGAAAUGGUUAAACAAUGGGCGGUAGGUUAAAAGCUAGAAUUCUCUUUGAUAACCUAAUGUUACCCUUUGACUUUGUGCACUUAUUCCAUCUUCAAAAGAAUCAAGUUUCAAAGGAAGAAAGAAAAACUAACGAAGGUCCAGCACCAGAAGGUGAGAAACAUUUCCUAUGAGGUUCUGAGUGUUGUCUGCUGUUAUUAAUAUUUUUUAUCUUGCCUGUCAACUGAGGCAGAAAGCCGAUUUCCUGGGAGGUCAAAUAUGCACUGUGGAAGUCAUAGCUGCAAUAACAAGGCAUUACAUUCUGUUCCCCUGUGUUCUAUUCACGUAAGGAUGAGUGAGGGGCCCAGUGUGUUGAUCGAUCUAUCAACCAUUCUCUAGCUGAAAGGGAGUGUACGCUUCUGAGGGGAAAUAAAGGAAGAGAAAGUCCCUCAGUUGAGUGUAACCAGCACUUGAGGGCAUGAAAGCUAUUGCAGCUCCUAGUUUUAGUAAAUGAAUUGAAAGAAAUGUUUUUAUCCAAUCAUUUCUCAGCUAUGAGGUAAAAAUAAGCCAUUUCCUAAAUUAUGGAGACCGCCUAGAGCUAGCUCUAUCCCACAGAUAAGACAGCUAUGUAAGGCCAGUGAAAUAUUUUUGAUUAUUAUUAUUUAUUCAUGCCUGAAUUAUUUAACACCCAGAGGUCUUGAACAGAAGCAGGCUCCCACAGAGUUCACUGCUCUGUUUGCUUUGAGGAUGGGCAGCGAAGGGUCUCCUGGCUGCUUCCUUGCACUGUGAGCACUAUGAUGGGCAGCUGCAAACUCUCAGGGGAAAGAAAAGCCAUCACCUGGUACUGGCUGCCCUAAGAUAUUUGCCCUGUGUGCUCUCAGAGCAAAAAUUCAGAACACUUUUGGCAAGGGACAGGGCACAUAUCAUAACACAGUUCAUUUAUCUGGGCUAUGUGUAAACCUCUGCUGCUGCUGAACUUGUUUUACUCCAGUAAACACCCUGAAAAAUAAACCAGAGAAAGAGUAACGUGAAGAAUAACAUUAAAAUUGGCAUGGCACACGACAAAAAACAGCGAUGUUUGUGUGAGCAGUUAUUUCACGCAGUCCAUCUGGAUCAGGAGACAGCAGGAUCUUGUGUGCUAAGAAAUGCAUGCAGAAGAAUAAAUAGUCCAGGUCUCGGUUCUGCAUUGGGCCCUACCUCAAACCAACCAUCCUUACUGAGGAGUGACAUCAAGUGAGUAGUGAGCAACUGAUAUUAUGUUCUUGUGAAACGAGAGCCAAACAUGACCCCCAAUGCUGCCAUGUUCUUUAAAAAUAGCUUUUCAAGUGAUACCUCCUCCAAAGAAUAAUGGCCAAGUGCAAGGACAGAGUCAUAACAAUGCCAUUCUUUCAAGCAGAAGGUGAUCUUUAUGUCAAGGAAAGCCAAAAGCUUGCUGAAGUUCAUAAUGGUUUGUGUCAAGUUGAAAGUUUUAACAUCCAAUCUCUGCCCUAUCUGAGCUUGAAGGAUAUUAUUUUCCAAUCACAGGGGAAUGUGAGGGGAGCUCAAUAUACCUCACUAGACUUGUCCUAAAAAAACAGUUUACUCUCUGUUAGGUCAGCAUCCCAAAAUUCCAGCAUGAUAAGUCUGCAGAUGAAUAUUUAUCAUACAGUCCUUCUGAGAAUGAAAAAAAAAAAAAGUCAAAACUGCCAACACUUUAAUUGUUUAAUAGGUUUAAUACUUCCAUUAGUAUGACAGAGCUGGUGCAGGUGGGAGAAGUGAUCACUCACGAUUCAUUAUGGCAGUUCACUUAUUUUAUCUAAGGUUCUCAAGUGCUUCAAAAAGUCUCAAAAAAAGGAAAUCUUAUACAAAUGGAGCCACAUGCCCCUGUGUCAGUUCCUCCUGAGGUUUCCCAUAUGUGCAUCAAAUGCUGCAGUGAUUCUUAGAAAUACACUUCCAGGGCUUAUGAAGCAUCCUCUGGAAUACCAGAAAGAAUUCUGAGAUCUGAACCUGUAAAGCUAUAAUGUGAUGGAAAGUACAGUGAGAGUAGCAGAUUAACAAAAUCCUAUGCUGCAGCAAAUGAGAACAAAUCCAAAUGCAGCAGCUGAGACUGCAGAAACAAAGGAAGGAAAACUGCUUACCUCUGGAAGGCUUCUGGUAGGCAGAGAGCUCCAGUGAGAUAACCUCACCUCCACUGCCAACCCUUAAAUGAGAUCAGGGAAGGGGUGGAUCCUGACUCCAGCCCUUCCAGUCACUCAGGAGCAUUGCAUACACCUGAGCUCCCCUGGGUUGGCCCAGCCUUCCCACCAGGUGCUCAAUCACUGCUUCAGGCUGUGACAGCAUUUCUGCUGCAGAACCUCUGUAGGGGAAUGACUGGUUCAGGUGAAGAGGCACAGUAAGUCAUCUCACAUUGCUUUUCCCAGCAGAAUAAGCAAUGUCUACUGCAUUAAAAACCAAGUGCAACUCUUGUCGGAGAAAUACUAGAUGCUGUGUGAGCAAACACUGCAGACUAUUAAUAGCUCUUCAAAAACAUGAGCAGCCUUGUAUACGCACAGCUCGUCAAGAAUGCUGCUUUGAAAUGCAAGUGGUUAGAGCUGCAGUGUGUGUGACUAAUCUCUGCUGGAAUGCAUGGGAAUACCUUUGGUAUCCAGACCCACAGCACCAAACCAACAGGCAGACAUUCACCUCUGGACAGGGGAGAUUGGCUGCCUACCAAGUUCAGUCCAUAACACAACUGUACAAAUAUAAUGAUCGUUUUUAAUUAUGUUUAAAAGCAGUUAACAGGAAAGAUUGAUCUAAAUCAUUGGCUCUAAUCAUUUUGUAGUUAUGCGUAAUGUUUUUAGAAUAUAUGGCUGGUAAGCAUUGAAAACAUAGAUAAAAAUGCAUUCAACUUUGUUCUGUUUAUCAAGGAGAUAUAGCCUACGUGUACACGUUUAUUAACGUAACCAUACAGCAGAGCACCUAUGGAUUUGGUUUGACUUUGCAUACUUCUCUAUUAUCCAGUGGUAACGCAUUUCUUUUACAAGACAGUGGUGUUGUCCCAAUGAUUCCUGCCGCAGUCUAGAUGGAUGAAAACUUAGCUCAUAUCCAAAUGCAGAAAACCUGCAUUCAGUCAUUUUCAUAGUGUGUUCAUAUCUACCUGGAAUGUGCUGUAUACAGAGAAUGGAUCCUCCAAAUGUGUUUAUUUAACACUGGAUUUCAUAACAUUAGCCAAGAUAUCACAAUUUGUUGCUGACUCCCUUGUAGAUUUUGGUGUGUGCCUGUUCCCUUCUACAUCUAUUUUAUAAUAAACAAAAGCCUUCCUGCCUCGUUAGCUACAAUGAAGUAAGGGAAAUAUUAUUUGAAUUAAAUUACUAGAAUAAAUUGAAAUGAGAAAAAGAACUGUCUCCAUUGCUGAAGUGCAGCUAUUCUUUCAGGAGUAUUUUUAGCUUUUUUUAAUCUGAAAUUAACAUGCUUCUGGAUGUAUUAAAUUUAAGCAUAGCUCCUUCAGAAAAACAAAAAGGUGAUUAAACUCCUUCACAGAUUCAGUUUUAUUAACACCACAGAAGUAGAUCUCAACAUAUUUUUUCACUGUUUUAAAAAUCUUUCAGUCAUUUAGGAUACUUUUUUUUGAGAUAACUUACGGGAGGGUAUUCUGGAGGUCAGCUGUCCUCCUGGAGAAACAAUCAAUACAUUCAGCAAAGGCCAGAAAAUGUGUGAGCCAUUAAGAAAAAGAAGAUAUAUUUUAAGAAGGCUUGUUUUCCUCUAUGGGGAACAAAUGAGAUUUGACAGGUCAGCUCAAGGAAACGUAUACAGCUCUGCUACAUAUUCGUAGCAUUAAUUUUUUUUAUUCACUGAAACUGUUUCCUGGAAAGUUCCAUGUAAGAGACCAGUCAUUUGUUGGCAGCUUGUGACGACAGCCUCCUGGAUUUCACCAACCUGAACUCACUGGCAAAUAACUACCACUCUGCCAUCGGUGCUGGAGGGGCGGGCAAGUAACCAAGGCCUGUGCCUGAACAAGCCUACAGAAGUACAUGGAAGUAUCAACUGGUGGUGAACUCCUGCAGUAACAAGUUCAGAACUGUGGAUCAGGAAUAGCCAAUGAGGGAUGGAUUCUGCCGAAUAUUUCCCUUACCACUGUAGUGUCCAACAUCAGAUCUGCACUUUUUCCAUACAGUUUUACAAACAUAUGUAGGUGGUAUGUGGUGCCUAUCAGCACAAGCGGGAUCAAACAUCUUUAAUUGCCUGGUGACAAGACACUGCUAAAACUGAAAUGAAUGGCUAUCUUAAGUACUUAAAUGAAGCUUACUAAUAGGUUAUGCUUUUUCUACAUAGUUUUACUUCUCUCUGAAGUUUUAGGCAGCUUCUGAAAACAAGGUCUUGAGCUGUAACAUUGAUCCACAGUCUAUUCCUUUCUGCCAUGGCAAAUUCCAAAGACAUUCUGUAAAAGAGCUUCAAAUAAUAAGAUGGGUUUCCACAGGUACAGUGCCUCAAGUUUUCCAGUGGCACAAUUCAGGAGGUUCACAGAAUCCUAGCUGGAAAGGACCUCUGGAGAUCAUCCAGUUCAUUAACUAGUUAACAUGUACAUUUAAAGCCUACCUGAAUAGCUGAAAAUACUCAAAGGAAAUCAUUAAUACCUGAUGUCUCAGCACAUCUUUGCCGAUGGCAAAUUAAAGCAAGCCCUGGAAAUUACUUUGGCAAUCUAAAAAGACCUCCCUAUCUCAGCUGAUUUGGACGGUAGGGGUUUGCUCUAUAUUAACCAUUUCAGAAAUAAUGGCCAAAACUUGUGUGUAUGUAGAUGCUACAGAUAAAGUAACACCGGCAGAGGUGAUUCUCCUACUAUAUUUAGCUUUAGUGCAUUCCGAGAUCAGCAAAGCAAACUGAAGGCACAUCCUGUGAGGAGAGGCUAAGGACAAUUGGGUGUCCUGCCUGGAGAAGAGGAGAGGUGACCCCUCUGCUCCCUGCAGCUCCAGAGGGCAGUGCAGGGCUCUGCUCCUGGAAAUGGAGGGCAGGAGGGAAUGGCGCAGAGCUGUGGCAGAGCAGGGUCAGACUGGGCACUGGGAAAAUUAAUUUACCAUGAGGGUGGUCAGACACUGCAACAGUCUUCCUAGUGAGGUGAUUGAUGCCCCGUGCUUCUCAGUGUUCUGAAAGCAUUUGGAAAAUGCCCUCAUUAAUAUACUGUAGCUUUUGUUUAGCCCUGAAGUGCUCAGGCAUUUGGACCUAAUGAUCUCUGUAGGUCCCUUCCAACCGAACUAAUCUGUUCUGUUCUGUUAAUUCAUUUUAUUUGGUUUCAACUUCAGUGUGGCUUUCUGAGAGUUAAGACCACUCCGCAGUCCUGUUACCCUCCUGAACUGACGGCCAAGUAUUGACCAGCUUCUCCGGAAACACAGAUUUCCUACCAGUUACCUCCUAAAAAGUAAUCAACAUCUUUCUGCUCGAUGUCUUCAGCGUGGUGGCUCCAGGCUGAUCCAGGACAGCAGCUCCCAGUGAGAGAUGACCCAACAACGCACGCAGGCAGCAGUCUCAGCUGGACAAAACACUGAUACCAAUACAUCCACCAAAAUUUAUUACCUACCUGGAAUGGAGAGUCAGUGCACUGUGCAGCAUGCGUAAGCAUGAAUGCAUUGUACAUUUAUUUAUUUCUAUUCGUGUAUUUUCAUAUCCAGGUUGUUCACUACCAACUGCCGAGAAACAUCAAAAAUUAAAACAAAUGAAUUCACUUA
This is a long non-coding RNA of Gallus gallus (chicken), 9448 nucleotides long. RefSeq lists it as uncharacterized. The record is from RefSeq and is a predicted model, not a curated record. NCBI's taxonomy places the organism in Eukaryota, Metazoa, Chordata, Aves, Galliformes, Phasianidae. The transcript has 8 exons.